Molecule: long non-coding RNA, 682 nt
Organism: Amphimedon queenslandica
Lineage: Eukaryota; Metazoa; Porifera; Demospongiae; Haplosclerida; Niphatidae
Exons: 2
Source: RefSeq, a predicted model, not a curated record
ACUAUUAUUAAUAAUUAAAAGGUGCGGUUGGGUGUGGUUUAAUUCGGAAUCGUUUCAAACGAUUCCUGCUUCUCUUUCGAUACGAGUACGAUUCCAUUCGGAAUCGAAGGAUCGAAUACUCCGGACUCGGAAUCGCCCAUCACUACAAAAUACUAUGCUUCAUUGAAAUUUAAUUUCCUAGUGCAGGCUGCAGUGUAGUGUAGAGCUGAGAGCUCAAAGGAUAAUGUGUGAAUUUAUUCCUAUACUGUUAAUAACUGUGUUUCAUGUGUUUCUUGGUCUCAUAAAUCUUGGUGUUGGACGUCCUUUCAUUGCUACAAGCUCAUUGGGAUACUAUCUCAUGUCAGCCGCACCACCAAUGCCACUCACUGUUCUCUCUAUCUGUAUUCAUCUAUUCAUAAUUGUUGCAUUAGUUCUGUGUGUUUGCAAGGGCAAAUAGCACACUACUCAAUUCAUUAUUUGAUCACUACCACUAUACCAGAUAACAGAUCCUUCUUAUAUAAAUGACAGUUAAUUAUGUACUUCAUGCAUUGGCUGCAUAACAUGUAUUGUUGUAUUGUUGUCGUCUUCAUUCCAUUAAUUAGUGGGAGUAAUUCAUUAUAUAUAUAUUCCAUAUUUCCUUUAAUAAUAGCUAUAUUUAUGUAAAAUAUGAUAUCUUAUUCCAUUCAUGAGUGGACAGGUCUAA